AACGAACGCUGGCGGCAGGCCUAACACAUGCAAGUCAAACGGAUGUAGCAAUACAUUAGUGGCGCACGGGUGCGUAACACGUGGGAAUGUACCCUAGGGUAAGGAAUAGCUACUGGAAACGGUAAUUAAUACCUUAUAAUGACUCCGGUCCAAAGAUUUAUCGCCCUGGGAUCAGCCCGAGCCUGAUUAGGUAGUUGGUAGGGUAAUGGCCUACCAAGCCUACGAUCAGUAGCUGGUCUGAGAGGAUGAUCAGCCACACUGGGACUGAGACACGGCCCAGACUCCUACGGGAGGCAGCAGUGAGGAAUAUUGGACAAUGGGGGAAACCCUGAUCCAGCCAUGCCGCGUGAGUGAAGAAGGCCUUAGGGUUGUAAACCUCUUUCAGCACCGACGAAGCGCAAGUGACGGUAGGUGCAGAAGAAGGACCGGCCAACUACGUGCCAGCCGCCGCCGUAA
Molecule: ribosomal RNA, 456 nt
Filed under: uncultured bacterium
Lineage: Bacteria
Description: partial 16S ribosomal RNA
Rfam family: Bacterial small subunit ribosomal RNA
Source: RNAcentral